CAUGAGACUUUCGCGCAGCACUAACACACCCACAUUCGUCAUCUCGACACCUUAUAAAUACAGACAGAACACACAGAUCAGACACGGAUCAUUUGGAUUUCUGCACCAGGAAAAUACUUUUUACUGCACUUAUCACCAAGACAAGACAAAAUGAGUGAUAAAAAGGGCAAGGCACCAGAAGGGAAAGGAUGUGACGGAGAAGGAAAAGGAAAGUGUGGAACGGGGGCAGCAGUACCUGGAAAAGAACAUGGAAAAGAUCAUGGAAAAGAUCAUGGAAAAGAUCAUGGAAAAGGAAAAGAAGGUGGACAGGCUAAACCAGAUGAAAAGAAAGGAGGUCAUGGUCCUGGUAAAUGAAGAAGAACUCCUUGAAUCGACAUUCUGUGAUAAUGAUUGUAAAAAAUUCAAUACAUAAUCUUUAAUAAAGUAAUCCAGGAAAAGGCAA
Perca fluviatilis (European perch) is the source of this 442-nucleotide long non-coding RNA. RefSeq lists it as uncharacterized. The transcript is spliced from 6 exons. NCBI's taxonomy places the organism in Eukaryota, Metazoa, Chordata, Actinopteri, Perciformes, Percidae. The record is from RefSeq and is a predicted model, not a curated record.